Molecule: microRNA precursor, 122 nt
Filed under: Gossypium hirsutum (cotton)
Lineage: Eukaryota; Viridiplantae; Streptophyta; Magnoliopsida; Malvales; Malvaceae
Description: MIR7504 microRNA precursor family
Rfam family: MIR7504 microRNA precursor family
Source: Rfam by way of RNAcentral
AAUAGGAAAAUGAUAAAUUAAAUUUUUCCUCUUGUUUUUCAGCCUUUCCUCCCUGAAAAAUUUAAAUCUAACUAAAAAUGCUAAAAAUCAGGAGAAAACAGCUGAUUUAUCAUUCUCUUAUU